GUUCUUUAUCUCUAUCUCUGUAAUCUAUUUUUAGCUACUCAUAGAAUACUAGCCCAAGGCUAGUCGCCAUAUAUGAAGUACUACAAUAGAUUACAGAGAUAGAGAUAAAGAACUACGUAACAUAAGUAUUGCAUGGUAAUACAUUAUAAACAACCCCAGAUCAUCUCUUCUACCAAGCUCUAACUCUUAAUCUAAAAUGUAUAAGUUGGCCCUAUCGUAAUAUCUCAUGACCAGGAAGGAACCUGC
This 246-nucleotide unclassified non-coding RNA is filed under the name Hevea brasiliensis (rubber tree). Lineage: Eukaryota; Viridiplantae; Streptophyta; Magnoliopsida; Malpighiales; Euphorbiaceae. The record is from RNAcentral.